UCAUGACAUCAAACACCCAAUGUGAUUUAGAAACGCAAAGACAGAGGGAGCCUGACACAAAAUACGAACAACAGUUGCGGAGGAGGGUUCUUGUCCUUUUCAGAAGUCUGCCACUCACAGCUAGUUCAAAUGAGAAGGGGGAGAGGACAGUCUCCAACGCCCCAGAAAGGCCCUUUCCGAUUAUCCUGCAUGAUUGUGGAUUUAGAGCUAGCAGGGACCUUAGAGGCCAUCUGCCCAGCCCCUGGCUUUACAGAGAACUAGCUCAAGGUCACUCAUCAGAGGAGCAUGUCAUAGACACAUACGAUAGACAUCGCAGGCUCUCCUGUCACUUGCCAAGGUCUACUCCCAAUUAAUCCUUCAGGAAGCACCUCGCCAGGGCCAGCUGGAAGACUGAGCACCAAAUACUUUUCAUCCUGGCUGUGCAAUGAUGUUUAAAUCUCCCACCACACCCCUUCCUUAUUGGACCAACAAAGGAGUACGUGGAUUUUCUUCAUGUUGCUUCUUCAAUGAUUACUUCAAGAGUUCAAGGAUCCGAGCCUCAGGGUUUAAGCCCACCAUUCAAUGCUGCAGACCGGCUGCACUCUGGCUCCGUAUUCAAAGCCUGCCUGCAUAGGCUGCUGGUGCCCUGGACUGUCCCCUGGGAGAGACGCUGAAGACAUCAGAAGUGAGACCCAGAGCACUGGCUGGAAUACGGCCAAGGGAGAGGACACCAGCUGCUGCUGGACAAGGCACUGGAGGAUGAAGCUGGUGUACCCUCACUACCAGGAACCAUUGGCAAGCAGUCAAGGGCUGGGAAUGAACAGGUUUCCGAAGAAUGAAAAGCCUUUGAUUACCAUGCGAGAGACUGCUCCGAAUCACCAGUCGAGAGAAACAAAACCAGCCCAAUCGUGAAGUCUUGCCCCACACCAGCAAAUGAACAGAGACGGCAAAAGACGCAAAGCGGUGGCAUUGGAGGGACCGCGGGGAGAUAGACAGAGAAUCAUGCAUGGGUGGUGGAGUUGCAGAUUGAUUCAACUACUCGAGGAAGACACUUUGAGCUAUGCUUAAACAACGGCAACAACUGAAGAGUUCAUGCUGCUUGUCCCUCUGCUAGACACUCCACAUGUACUCCAGGGACCCCAAAAGAACAACCCGAAACACAUCAAGAUGUUCAGAGCAGAAUGGUUUGUGUUGGCAAAGAACUGAAAGCAAAGUAUUGGCCGCCCGUUUGGAAAGAUUCAAAAAGACAGUGGGACAAGAAUAUGACAGACUAUUAAUGCACCACACACACACACACAUACACACACACACACACACACACACACACACAUAUGUAUAAAUAAUUUAGAGAGACAGAGGACUUUUUUGAACUGAGGUAAAGUGAGGCAAAAGUCACCAUGGAAAAAUACACAUAAUUAUGACUAUGUAAACCAAAAACUCACAACAGAAUGACAUUGAGUGGUUAUGAUGCCUGAGCUGAACCCCAGGGGAGAGUUUAGAAAACUCACCUACAUCCCUUCCCCACAAGGGUGGGGGAUGCCAGGUGUGGAACAUUGCCAAUUUUGGCACACAUAAGAGUUGCAUUGGGUUUUUUUCCUGAUCUUUUUUUUUUAUUUUAAAAUCUUUGUUAUGUGGAACAACUUGUUGAGUGAAGGAGGGGGAAAUAAUAUAUUUAGAAGUAAAUGUGAUAAAAACAAAAAGUAUCAAUUUUGGAAACUUUAAACAAUUUUUUUUUAAACAUUGGAUUAUAACUUAGCUUUUCCCAGGAGAACCAGGGUCACCAAACCUUAGAGACGUGAACAACCCCGAGGCCUGUGCAGGCAAUACAUUCCCCAGGGUCAUUGGCUCUGUUUCCUUUCCUCCUGGAGAGGCUUCCUCCUAAAGGUUUGUGGGCUAAUUUGGAGGUGGAGGAAGCUGGAAAACAUAGGCCUACACACACCUCCAAGCUCCCUCAAGACUCCAUGAUUCUAUUCCUCUUACCUGACAAAUGUCAUUGGUUUUGAUGCAGCAAACACUUCCUGACAAAUGCCCCAACAACCCCUCUUACAAAUCACAUUCCCCCAAAGACCUACCGAUCUUUCAGCGGUUACCAGGAAGGAGCGGCGUGGAGGGCCAACCUUUUCCAGGGCCCUGCCAUGACUACAUUUUCACAACAAUUGGCACUGGUAGACCCAAGGAGGAAGAAGAGAGGGCUUUCUGUCAGAAGAGAAUGCCCUAAAAGCUGGAAGUUUGCUCAUCUGAAAGCCAGCAGAAACUGGACCAAGAAAGAAUGAAAGAAUGCCCACCAGACAUCUAGUGGCAAACAUUGCCUCAGACCCAUCACCCAACCUGGGACAACGAAGGCUCAUGGAGGCAGGUCACCAUUUAAAGUGAAGUUAUAGACACAGAUUAAUGUGUGAGAUGAGGACAAGAUUUCAAUCCACACCUUUGAACAUGGAAACCAAACUGCUCUUUUCCUCUUGUUGAAAGUGUGUUAGCAGGUAGAAUAAGGCAGCCUCGGAGGUAGACCUGGCCAACCUGCCUACUCAGGGAAGCAGUUUGCGAAGGGGAAGAAACAUCCAACUGUCCUCUGACUUACUGGGUCUAUGCUGAAAGUCUUUCCUCAACAGCUCCGCCAUUUCUUGGGGGCAACUUGAGGGCCUGGCACACAGGAGGCACUUAACAAAUGCUCAUUGACUGACUGACUCUUCAAGGGAAGAGCCCAGCCCUGACUCUGGAUGAACUGCCCAUGCUCCACCCUUCCAUCCACCCCCGUUCAUUCUUUCCUCGUUUAUCCUGACUCUGCUCGGAGAAGCUAAAUCCCCAGGUAACCAGACAUGCAUGGCACCCCGAGCCAGCCCAUGCUGCUUCCUCUUUAAGAGCUGUGGCCUCUGGAAUGUCGUUGCCCCAGGAUUAAACCACCAGGAGUCUUAUUUCAUCAGUUUGUUGACCAAGACAAGAGCCAGGGGCACCUAAGAGGAUUAUACCCAUUCCCAUGGGUGAGGCCCCAGAUUGGUGCUUUCAUGUUUGAGAAGCAGCCCUGCCUGCUAUUUUCCUGGAUUGGAAGUGACCUGCCACUGAUUGUUCUGAGCCGUUCCCAGGCCAGAGUAAAGGGAUCUCCCUCAGGUGUGAGGCCCAGGAUGUAUUUGGGAAUCAGACUUGGGAGUCUAUAGCUCUCAGAUGCAGCUGGCCCAGGGUCUCCUUGAGAUCUGUCAUUCAGCACCCAGCCCCAGGUGGACGGAGAAGGCGGGGAGCCUGGAAGGUCCUUGUUUUAACCUUGGAGAAGGGCGGCCUCAGAGCUCACUGGAAUGAAGCUUUCGUGUGCUCCAAGAGAGCCAUGUGCAUGCACAGUGAAAGAGGAGGAAGGAGAGGGGAAAGAGGAGCCAAGGCAGGGGAAAGGAGACCAUAGUGGAGGGGAGAGUAUGAGGUCUUCAGCACAGGAGCGCAUCUAGGAACUCUACAGAACCAAGUUAGGGAGAAGUAGGAUAAUUGAGGGGGAAGCAUGUUGCAGAUGGAGUCAAAAGGGUGGGUCUGGGUUCAAAACUUGGCUCCACUCCUUGCUGCCUCUGUGACAUUAGACAAGUGACUUGAUUUCCCCAGGUGUCAGUUUCCUUUCUUUGAAGUGAGGAGAUUGAGCAGCUAUACACAGUGAGUCAGAGAAUGGGGGUUCAAGGUUCACCUUUGAGAGCCUAAGGAAGUGGCUGAAUGCCUCCGUGCCUCAGUGUCUUCCAUUUGUAAAAUGGCAGAGUUGAAUGUGAUGACCUCUAAGGUUCCUUCCAGUUCUGAUCCCACGAUCCUCCUUCUCUCUGAAUGUGUGAUGUAGAGUGCUGGGAUGUUCACAAUGUCUUUGUCCUGCGUCAGAAUGGGAAUGGGAGGGGCAGCUAGGUGAUGCAGUGGAUAGAGCACCGGCCCUGAAGUCAGGAGGACCUGAGUUCA
Long non-coding RNA from Phascolarctos cinereus (koala), 3894 nucleotides. RefSeq lists it as uncharacterized. The record is from RefSeq and is a predicted model, not a curated record. Lineage: Eukaryota; Metazoa; Chordata; Mammalia; Diprotodontia; Phascolarctidae.